This 433-nucleotide ribosomal RNA is filed under the name uncultured bacterium. Its description in RNAcentral is "partial 16S ribosomal RNA". It matches the Rfam family "Bacterial small subunit ribosomal RNA", at positions 29 to 507 of the family's 1533-position model. The record is from RNAcentral.
AACGAACGCUGGCGGCAUGCCUAAUACAUGCAAGUCGAACGAGGUCUUCGGAUCUAGUGGCGCACGGGUGCGUAACGCGUGGGAAUCUGCCCUUGGGUUCGGAAUAACUUCUGGAAACGGAAGCUAAUACCGGAUGAUGACGUAAGUCCAAAGAUUUAUCGCCCAAGGAUGAGCCCGCGUAGGAUUAGGUAGUUGGUGAGGUAAAGGCUCACCAAGCCGACGAUCCUUAGCUGGUCUGAGAGGAUGAUCAGCCACACUGGGACUGAGACACGGCCCAGACUCCUACGGGAGGCAGCAGUAGGGAAUAUUGGACAAUGGGCGAAAGCCUGAUCCAGCAAUGCCGCGUGAGUGAUGAAGGCCUUAGGGUUGUAAAGCUCUUUUACCCGGGAUGAUAAUGACAGUACCGGGAGAAUAAGCUCCGGCUAACUCCGUG